This 494-nucleotide small RNA is filed under the name Pongo abelii (Sumatran orangutan). Its description in RNAcentral is "processed transcript". Lineage: Eukaryota; Metazoa; Chordata; Mammalia; Primates; Hominidae. The record is from RNAcentral.
GGAGGAUUCCUGGGCUGGUGCAUAACUCCGAGAAAAACACUGCUUCUCGUCAUGGGUCCCCACAGUCCCAGUGAAGAACCUAAAUGGGUCCAGUCCUGUCAACCCUGCCUUGGCAGGAAUCACUGGGAUCCUCAUGAGUGCAGCGGGGCUGCCUGUGUGUCUCACCAGGCCACCAAAGCUGGUCCUACACCCACCCCCCGUCAGCAAGAGUGAAAUAAAAUCCAUCCCAGGGGUUUCCAACACAAGCCGCAAGACCACCAAAAAACAAGCCAAGAAAGGUAAAACCCCGGAGGAAGUGCUAAAAAAAUAUCUACAGAAAGUCCGGCACCCACCAGAUGAGGACUGCACCAUCUGUAUGGAACGCCUCACGGCCCCCUCAGGCUACAAGGGCCCGCAGCCUACGGUAAAACCUGACCUGGUAGGGAAGCUGUCCAGAUGCGGCCACAUCUACCACAUCUACUGCUUGGUUGCCAUGUACAACAAUGGGAACAAGG